Long non-coding RNA from Megalopta genalis, 839 nucleotides. RefSeq lists it as uncharacterized. The record is from RefSeq and is a predicted model, not a curated record. NCBI's taxonomy places the organism in Eukaryota, Metazoa, Arthropoda, Insecta, Hymenoptera, Halictidae.
UGUACCUGUCGAGAAACGUUAAACAACCAAUUGUAAAGGUGUCAUUAUGUUACACUUUCUAAUUCGGAAAUUUUAGGUGUAUCGGAUGAGGGAGUCGAGAUCAGGCCACCAGAUGGAAACAGAUGUGUUAUGGUACGGUCAAUUACGUUAUUGGCGAUUGGCGAACCACGUACACAAGCGCACAAUCGAGUCCGCGCGACAACCGAAUGACAGAUCUAUCAUGUUCCGAAUCUGGAGUGAUCGAAUUGUCAGUAUAAUGCGUAACCAAUACUAAAUACCGAGUACCAAAUUUCAAAUUAUUUUGUGAUUGAUUCCCUGAAAAUAAUUCUAAUAAAUUUAAAUCGAUGUUUCUUUUAGCUUGUGCUAAAACUUAAAGAGUAAUUUGCUACGUGUAGCCAACCUUUACUUUUCAACUUAAUUUAUGACGAAAAUAAAUGAUUGCUCUGUCGAAAUCAAUCACUGACACUUUAUCAAAAUUAAUGUAGCGAUGAAGAAAAUAAUUAAAGAUCGUUUGACUUACUGAUAGUGAACGCGGGUCGCCAAUAUGAAUAUGCGCAUCGGAGAUUGAUCUUUUUCGGAAUUUAAAAAUAAAAAGAUGGCACUUGCGUAUUUGCCUAAUCUCUUUGCGUGUUUGCCUACCUCAUUCAUAGAAAAUCUAUGCCCGAAGCAACCAAUCAGAUGACAGGAGGUUCAAAUUCAAAUGAAAAUGAAACAUCUGUAAUGGAACAUAAUAAAAAAUGUAUCAGCCACGCAACGCGCGAGCAAACAUAAUUUAUUUUAAAAAUUAUACAGUGCACUAGUCAAUAUGUGAUAAAUAAAAUUGGUAUAGUUUUUAUAGA